AUGUCGCAAGGACAGAGGGGAGCAAUAGGAAUCCCGCUCGCGGUUCUCUCUCUGGCCAUCCUCCUCCACGUCGCCGGCUGCAGCCCUCCUCCGGAGCCGGUGGUCUGCACGCACGGCACAUCCAACUGCACGGUCACCAACUCGUUCGGCUCCUUCCCGGACCGCAGCACCUGCCGCGCGGGCAACGUCGCCUACCCGCGCACGGAACAAGAGCUCGUGGCGGCCGUCGCGGCGGCGGCGGCGGCGAAGCGCAAGAUGAAGGUCGCCACCAAGUACUCACACAGCCUCCCCAAGCUGGCGUGCCCCGGCGGCCUGGACGGCACCAUCAUUAGCACGGCGCGGCUCAACCGGACUGUGCGCGUGGACGUGGAGAGCAGGCUUAUGACGGUGGAGAGCGGCAUGGUCCUCCGGGACCUGAUCGAGGCCGCCGGCGCCGCACCCGCAGGGCUGUCCCUGCCGCACUCGCCGUACUGGUACGGCCUAACCAUCGGGGGGCUCCUGUCGACGGGCGCGCACGGCAGCUCGCUGUGGGGCAAGGGCGGCGCCGUGCACGAGUACGUGGUCGGGCUGAGGAUCGUGACGCCGGCGCCGGCGAGCCAGGGGUUCGCCGUGGUGAGGGAGCUCGGCGCCCAUCACCCGGACCUGGACGCGGCAAAGGUCUCCCUCGGGGUUCUCGGCGUCGUCUCUCAGGUCACGCUGGCGUUGCAGCCGCUGUUCAAGCGGUCGGUGGCGUUCGUGAAGCGCGACGACUCAGACCUGGCGGACCAAGUGGCAGCAUGGGGCCGCCUCCACGAGUUCGCCGACAUGACGUGGCAGCCGGAGCAGCGCAAGGUCAUCUACCGCCAGGACGACCGCGUCGACGUGUCGUCGCCGGGCAACGGCCUCAGCGACACACUCCUUGCCCGGUCCGCCCCCACGCUCAUGCUCGUCGAUGCAAGGGCCGAGGAGCGGCUGCAGGAGAACGGCACCACCGCCGCCGACCUGUGCGCGGCGGCGCGGCCGCUGGCGGACACGGUGGAACGGCAGGCCUACGGCUACACAAACGACGGCGUCUCAUUCACGGGGUACCCGGUCGUGGGCUACCAGCACCGCAUCCAGGCGUCCGGCACCUGCAUGGAUAGCCCGGAGGACGGUCUCCUCAGCGGCUGCCCUUGGGACCGGCGCAUCCGGGGCUCUUUCUACUACAACUCCGGCUUCAGCGUCGCGCUCUCCAAGGCGCCGGCGUUUGUGUCGGACAUGCAACGGCUCCGGGACCUCAACCCGGACAUCUUCUGCGCCGGCGUCGACACCAGGGUCGGCGUGCUCGUCCGCUACGUCAAGGCGUCCUCCGCUUACCUCGGCAAGCCGGAGGACUGCGUCGACUUCGACAUCAUCUACUACCGGAGCCGCACCUACGGCAUGCCGCGCGCGCACGCCGACGUGGUGGACGAGAUCGAGCAGAUGGCGCUACGCAAGUACGGUGGCCUCCCGCACUGGGGAAAGAACCGUAACUUGGCAUUCAGCGGUGUCAUCACGAAGUACCCGGGAGCUGGUAAAUUCCUCCGGGUGAAGGACAGCGAGUGGAGCGACCAGGUGCUCGGCAUCAAUGGAAGCCCCGACAUCGUCAAGGAGAGCUGCGCCGUGGAAGGACUCUGCAUCUGCUCUGAGGACUCGCACUGCGCGCCCGAGCGAGGCUACUUCUGCCGGCCAGGAAAGGUGUACGACGAGGCCAGAGUUUGCUUGUUCCUCCAGGACUAG
This 1737-nucleotide ribosomal RNA is filed under the name Triticum aestivum (bread wheat). RNAcentral describes it as "partial small subunit ribosomal RNA". Lineage: Eukaryota; Viridiplantae; Streptophyta; Magnoliopsida; Poales; Poaceae. The record is from RNAcentral.